CUGUGGGCUCAGCGCGUGGGG
Molecule: microRNA, 21 nt
Filed under: Homo sapiens (human)
Lineage: Eukaryota; Metazoa; Chordata; Mammalia; Primates; Hominidae
Description: hsa-miR-4322
Source: miRBase by way of RNAcentral